CCUACGUGAGGCAGCAGUGGGGGAUAUUGGACAAUGGGGGGAACCCUGAUCCAGCGACGCCGCGUGAGUGAAGAAGUAUCUCGGUAUGUAAAGCUCUAUCAGCAGGGAAGAAGAAAUGACGGUACCUGAGUAAGAAGCCCCGGCUAACUACGUGCCAGCAGCCGCGGGAAUACGUAGGGGGCAAGCGUUAUCCGGAAUUACUGGGUGUAAAGGGAGCGUAGACGGUGGGGCACGUCUGGAGUGAAAGGCCGGGGCCCAACCCCGGGACCGCUCUGGAAACUGCCCGGCUGGAGUGCGGGAGAGGUAAGCGGAAUUCCUAGUGUAGCGGUGAAAUGCGUAGAUAUUAGGAGGAACACCAGCGGCGAAGGCGGCUUACUGGACCGUGACUGACGUUGAGGCUCGAAAGCGUGGGGAGCAAACAGGAUUAGAUACCCCUGUAGUC
Molecule: ribosomal RNA, 442 nt
Filed under: uncultured bacterium
Lineage: Bacteria
Description: partial 16S ribosomal RNA
Rfam family: Bacterial small subunit ribosomal RNA
Source: RNAcentral